RNAcentral lists this ribosomal RNA (164 nucleotides) under uncultured bacterium. RNAcentral describes it as "partial 16S rRNA". It matches the Rfam family "Bacterial small subunit ribosomal RNA", at positions 355 to 511 of the family's 1533-position model. The record is from RNAcentral.
UAGGGAAUCUUCGGCAAUGGACGAAAGUCUGACCGAGCAACGCCGCGUGAGUGAAGAAGGUUUUCGGAUCGUAAAACUCUGUUGGUAGAGAAGAACGUUGGUGAGAGUGGAAUGCUCAUCAAGUGACGGUAACUACCAGAAAUGGACGGCUAACUACGUGCCAG